UACAUCUCUGACAGACCUGGAGAAGUUAAUGUCUGCUGCUAAUGUUUUCCAUUAGAGAUGCAAGAAAAAGAAGGUCCUCACACUUUCUGUCUGUCUGGUUGUGACAGCCAAAAUUGAAUAGGAGAAUACAGGA
RNAcentral lists this small nucleolar RNA (133 nucleotides) under Dasypus novemcinctus (nine-banded armadillo). RNAcentral's name for it is "Small nucleolar RNA SNORA31 (ENSDNOG00000040140.1)". Lineage: Eukaryota; Metazoa; Chordata; Mammalia; Cingulata; Dasypodidae. The record is from RNAcentral.